UGAGUACAGGCCUUCAUACGGUGAAACCGCGAAUGGCUCAUUAAAUCAGCUAUGGUUUAUUGGAUCAUACCCGUUAAAUGGAUAACUGUAAUAACUCUAGAGCUAAUACAUGCCUCGAUGCCCUGACUCUGUCCUCUUGUGGCUCUUGUAGCUGCAAUUGUGGGCAAGGGAGGGGUGCACUUAUUAGAUCAGAAGCCAACCGGCGUUGCGUGUGUAUUGCGUGCGCUGAAGCACUUCUGGUGACUCUGGAUAAUUGUUACAGAUCGCAGUCGGCCUUGGGUCGGCGACGGGUCCUUCAAAUGUCUGCCCUAUCAACCUUCGAUGGUAGGUGACCUGCCUACCAUAGUAAUAACGGGUAACGGGGAAUCAGGGUUCGAUUCCGGAGAGGGAGCCUGAGAAACGGCUACCACUUCCAAGGGAGGCAGCAGGCGCGCAAAUUACCC
This 443-nucleotide ribosomal RNA is filed under the name Raillietina sonini. Its description in RNAcentral is "SSU rRNA". It matches the Rfam family "Eukaryotic small subunit ribosomal RNA", at positions 60 to 446 of the family's 1831-position model. The record is from RNAcentral. Lineage: Eukaryota; Metazoa; Platyhelminthes; Cestoda; Cyclophyllidea; Davaineidae.